GCAGUUAAAUGUGUCAGACUAGUAAAAUUGUCUUGUAGCGUUCAACGGAAGCUCUCGAAUAAAAUACUCAGUUGGACUUAUAUUAGUUGAGUUGAAUGUGCUAAGAAUUUAAGAGAGAUAUAAAUCAUUAAUUAUCAUUCCCCUGUAUACCUAUACCAGUAUUCAGUACCGGUACCCAGCAUUUAUCUGCAAAAUCAUUUGAUGCUGAUUCUGCUCCGGUUGCUCUGCAUGCCAGUCCGGCUUAUCCACAACAACUACUGCUCACACCUGCGCAUGUUAAUAAAUUCCAGCCGAUUGUUAUCAUUAAUACCGAAUAACAAACUGAUGAUCAGACACAUUAGGUAAUGGCAAACCGUAGCAUCAAGUCCCAUCGCACCUCGCCGCAUUUAAUAGUAUGUACAUACACUCUUUGGCGACGAUGGACACUGGACUGUGAUAGCAAACCCGCAAAAUCCCUGGGCUCGUGUCGCGUCUGUGUUAUUACACACACAUACAUACACAUAUGUGUGAUGUGUAAUGUAGAUAUGUGUUCAAGAGUAUGAGUCUAUCAGACAUACAGAUAUACAGAUAUACAAAUAUAUAAGCAUGGAUAGAACAUAUAAGCGAGUGGAACUAGUCGUUGUUGUCGGUAGUUAUACUCUAUCGUCCGGUGAUAAAAGUCGAUGGGGAUAAUAAUGCGUUGAUACUGGUAUAUGGUGUCGGUGCAUACAGAAGAGAGACAGAAUGCCUUCUGGCAGUACAUAUGUGUAUGUAGGUAGAUGCUCUGAUACUGGUGGUGGGUCUGGUUAUGCGUUUUAUGUUGUAUAUAGUACAGGGUCUCGCGUGCACCAGUAUGAGUAAAAUAAAACACGAUUUGUGGAGUAGUAUAGUCUGGCCCGCGUCCGCUUGUCUGACUGUCAGUGGGUCGUUGAACCCCCCUUGCCUCGCUGUCCACCGCCGUCAUUGCGAGGCCGUUGUUGCUUUUAAGUGUAAGCCAGCAGCCGUCCAGAGGAGAGUUAACUUGCUCAAUCAUAUAUGAUGUCGAAUUGACACGAUAGCCUUGUCAAGGUCAUGUGGAUGUUUCUCUGGAAGUAACCGUGGAAAAAGACGAGGGAUAUUAAAGAGAACAGUGAAAAGCGAGAAGAAAGAUAAGGAUAAGUGGUGGUGAGCUUAGAAGAAGACGGAGCUGGAGAUGGCGAAGGUGUUUGACAAAGAGGGGUGUAUCAGUGUGGAGUUAACACCGAUGGAGAUCCAGUGAGAGAGUGUGCGCAAAAUUCUACCUAUAUAUCCGUACCAAAUUCACCAUAUCAGGAACGACGUCGUCGCGCACGUUGGAGGGGGCGUCUAGACGCAACGUCACGAGUACGUAGCAGCGGCUUCCCCCUUUGGCCACCACACCGCAGAUGAGUAUGAGCAAAAGAGACCAGAUAGAGACAGAGAGCUAGAGGAAGAGGAAGAGAUACACGUACAGUUCAACCAAAGGUUUCAAUCCUCCUUCCACCCGAGUAGAGAUGAGAGCCGAGCUGAGAUACUGAGUCAGUUACAGCCGGGCAUCACUUCACGAUUCAGGAUACCAACAGCUCCGCCGCUGGCUAACGGAUAAAUCUCCGGGUCCAGCUCCAGCUUUACAUCCAGAUUCACCCGCUCCACGGAUUAACUUUACAUUCAUUAUUUAAGCGUUUAAUAACGCCCAAUUUUUAUUCACUCGCUUAGUGUAAUCUAGAUUACACUAAUUAUGCAAUGGUUUUUGUCAUUUAACCACACAAGAGGUCGUCGGGAAUUUUUAGUUUAUUUAAUUAUUUG
RNAcentral lists this long non-coding RNA (1782 nucleotides) under Cotesia glomerata. Its description in RNAcentral is "uncharacterized LOC123263482, transcript variant X1". The record is from RNAcentral. Lineage: Eukaryota; Metazoa; Arthropoda; Insecta; Hymenoptera; Braconidae.